UCUUGACUGGUAUAUCGGUUAGUACACGCGCUUGUCAUAACAUAGCUGCGACGAUCGAGAUCACUUCCGCGCGAAAGCUGGGUUCGACUCCCAGGUCGAGUU
This is a non-coding RNA of Mycena polygramma, 102 nucleotides long. Lineage: Eukaryota; Fungi; Basidiomycota; Agaricomycetes; Agaricales; Mycenaceae. The record is from the annotation of a GenBank genome assembly.